Molecule: long non-coding RNA, 487 nt
Filed under: Chinchilla lanigera (long-tailed chinchilla)
Lineage: Eukaryota; Metazoa; Chordata; Mammalia; Rodentia; Chinchillidae
Description: lncRNA (ENSCLAG00000025618.1)
Source: RNAcentral
GUUCCAGAGUGCAAGAGUCAUUCAUCCACACGGAUUCAAAGUCCUGAUUGUUUGCCAGAUUUGCAUUUACUAUAUGGUCCACAGCAACAGCAUACUGCAAGCAAACCUGAAUAUCUGAUGCUCAGCUGCUGGGGCAACCUGGUUCAAGCUCUGGAGAGAGGGCUCCACAGGUGCAUGCCUGCUCAGCACAGGCUGAGACUGUGGGUGUUUUGUCUGGACACUUUGGAAUGACUCAGAUGAACAGCUCCAUGUCAUUCUGAGGAAAAGGAGGUCACAGCCCAGAGGACUAAGGAAACAUGUCCUUGCAUUCAACUUUCACUUUGUUCGGCUUGGAUUUCUCCCAGCAGAUUGGGCCGUGACACGUCCCUUGGAGCUCAGCUGUGACCCAUCACAUUCCCAACAACGUUGUCUUCUAUUUUCUAGGUAUAAGAAAUCACCUUUCAGGGGAAGAGUUACCCUGCAAGCAAACACGGAUGUCUUCUACUGA